UACAGAGGGGGCGAGCGUUGUUCGGAAUUACUGGGCGUAAAGGGCGCGUAGGCGGCCUUCUAAGUCGAACGUGAAAUCCCCGGGCUUAACCUGGGAAUGGCCAUGGAAACUGGCGAACUGGAGUGCGGCAGAGGGGGGUGGAAUUCCGCGUGUAGCAGUGAAAUGCGUAGAGAUGCGGAGGAACACCGAUGGCGAAGGCAGCCCCCUGGGCUAGCACUGACGCUCAGGCACGAAAGCGUGGGGAGCAAACAGG
RNAcentral lists this ribosomal RNA (253 nucleotides) under uncultured bacterium. RNAcentral's name for it is "partial 16S ribosomal RNA". It matches the Rfam family "Bacterial small subunit ribosomal RNA", at positions 524 to 776 of the family's 1533-position model. The record is from RNAcentral.